This 308-nucleotide ribosomal RNA is filed under the name uncultured bacterium. RNAcentral's name for it is "bacterial SSU rRNA". It matches the Rfam family "Bacterial small subunit ribosomal RNA", at positions 28 to 339 of the family's 1533-position model. The record is from RNAcentral.
GACGAACGCUGGCGGCGUGCUUAACACAUGCAAGUCGAGCGGUAAGGCCCUUCGGGGUACACGAGCGGCGAACGGGUGAGUAACACGUGGGUGACCUGCCUCUAGCUCUGGGAUAAGCCUGGGAAACUGGGUCUAAUACCGGAUAUGACUCCACGGCGCAUGUUGGUGGGGUGGAAAGCCUUGUGUGGCUAGAGAUGGGCCCGCGGCCUAUCAGCUUGUUGGUGGGGUGAGGCCUACCAAGGCGACGACGGGUAGCCGGCCUGAGAGGGCGACCGGCCACACUGGGACUGAGACACGGCCCAGACUCC